CACAUUUCUACAAGAAGAAGACCUAUACAAUACUGCAGAGAUAAAGCAAAAUAAUUAAAAUGAAUUAUGGAUGUAAACAGCUAAGGUGUAUUUGUAAUUUUUUAUACCAUAAUAUGAUAAUAAGUGCUACCUAAUUUACGGACAAAAGCUUAUGUAGUGCCGGGAACCAGUCGUUUGUGUGCAAAGGAACCAACUUCUAUUGGACUACACUUGGAUGUUAGUGGAUGUUAGCCGAGCUCCUCGAGAAGCAGGUCCGUGAAUCUCGUGUAUGUGAGAGUGCAGCCAGACAUCCCUUCCUAGACUAGACGUUGAUGCGAGCGGACGUGUGGAACUGUUGUGAUCAUUAAAGAAGCCGGGAAACGUAUUAUUGAGGAGGUUGUUUAAACAAAAAUCAACACAUUUUGACAGAGACUGUCAUGAAUGUGGUCAGUACAGAGUCGACUUCAAUCGCUGGGGCUGCGACAGCUGCACUUGACACGAGCUUCACUCAAGUUGACUCGCUUUCAGCUGUGUGUCACUGCAGCUGUCACGACAAUGACCAACUCGAGGUGAUGUCAUUAGCAGAGCUGAAGAGAAAGAAGAUAAUGCUUGAAAAUCGAUUGUUGAAAAAAGCUACAAUCACCAUACAUGUGUAAUUUUCAUUUUGAUAGUAAGCUGUUAUUUUAGUUAAUAUCAAAAUCCUUAGUCUAUAGAAAAAUUCAAAACUUUUCAAAAUGGCAUUUGUUGUAAUGAAAAUUUAAUGCAUUUUUUACAAUGAAAACAAUUUUGUUAACAUGAAAUAUAUGCAUUUUGUUUGAAAACACUUCCUAACACAUACAAUUAUAUGUGUUUUGUUCUGAGAAAACUGGGCAUAAUGCAUGAACGUAAAGUGUCGUCCCAGAUUAGCCUGUGCAGUCCGCACAGACUAAUCAGGGACAACAGUUUUCGCCUUAACUUGAUUUUCGGUAAUGAGGGACUUCCUUGAAACUAAAAAUAAUGUUUUGUUUUUUGGAAAUAAAUUAAUUACUAACUGGAAAGCUUUUACAGGUUUCAAACGAAUAUCGCCAUGCAGCACUCCCCGUCUUGUUCAGUUGGCCUAUUCCCCUUUCGACUUUUGAUCUUGUUAUUUUGUGAGCUCUGUGAUAUCAAAUAUACAUUUAAUAAAAUCCAGCAAAAUUAUUUGAGACGCAUUCUGAGA
Long non-coding RNA from Dreissena polymorpha, 1177 nucleotides. RefSeq lists it as uncharacterized. The record is from RefSeq and is a predicted model, not a curated record. The transcript has 3 exons. Lineage: Eukaryota; Metazoa; Mollusca; Bivalvia; Myida; Dreissenidae.